GGCCUCCCUCUUUGGGGCAAUCGAUCGUGGGGCUCUGUGAUCGGUUGCCCAGCAGAGGGAGGCC
Non-coding RNA from Myotis lucifugus (little brown bat), 64 nucleotides. Lineage: Eukaryota; Metazoa; Chordata; Mammalia; Chiroptera; Vespertilionidae. The record is from Rfam.